GUUAAGCGACUAAGCGUACACGGUGGAUGCCCUGGCAGUCAGAGGCGAUGAAGGACGUGCUAAUCUGCGAUAAGCGUCGGUAAGGUGAUAUGAACCGUUAUAACCGGCGAUUUCCGAAUGGGGAAACCCAGUGUGAUUCGUCACACUAUCAUUAACUGAAUCCAUAGGUUAAUGAGGCGAACCGGGGGAACUGAAACAUCUAAGUACCCCGAGGAAAAGAAAUCAACCGAGAUUCCCCCAGUAGCGGCGAGCGAACGGGGAGCAGCCCAGAGCCUGAAUCAGUGUGUGUGUUAGUGGAAGCGUCUGGAAAGGCGCGCGAUACAGGGUGACAGCCCCGUACACAAAAAUGCACAUGCUGUGAGCUCGAUGAGUAGGGCGGGACACGUGGUAUCCUGUCUGAAUAUGGGGGGACCAUCCUCCAAGGCUAAAUACUCCUGACUGACCGAUAGUGAACCAGUACCGUGAGGGAAAGGCGAAAAGAACCCCGGCGAGGGGAGUGAAAAAGAACCUGAAACCGUGUACGUACAAGCAGUGGGAGCACGCUUAGGCG
RNAcentral lists this ribosomal RNA (550 nucleotides) under Escherichia coli. Its description in RNAcentral is "partial 23S ribosomal RNA". It matches the Rfam family "Bacterial large subunit ribosomal RNA", at positions 1 to 591 of the family's 2925-position model. Lineage: Bacteria; Pseudomonadati; Pseudomonadota; Gammaproteobacteria; Enterobacterales; Enterobacteriaceae. The record is from RNAcentral.